This 373-nucleotide ribosomal RNA is filed under the name uncultured bacterium. RNAcentral's name for it is "bacterial SSU rRNA". It matches the Rfam family "Bacterial small subunit ribosomal RNA", at positions 525 to 896 of the family's 1533-position model. The record is from RNAcentral.
ACGUAGGAAGCUAGCGUUAUCCGGAUUUACUGGGCGUAAAGCGCAUGCAGGUGGUUUCGUAAGUUGGAUGUGAAAGCUCCCGGCUUAACUGGGAGAGGUCGUUCAAAACUGCGAGACUUGAGAUUGGUAGAGGAAGGUGGAAUUCCGGGUGUAGUGGUGAAAUGCGUAGAUAUCCGGAGGAACACCAGUGGCGAAAGCGGCCUUCUGGACCAAUUCUGACACUCAGAUGCGAAAGCUAAGGUAGCAAACGGGAUUAGAGACCCCGGUAGUCUUAGCUGUAAACUAUGUGAACUUGGUGUCGGUGGGUUUAAAUCCAUCGGUACCGAAGCUAACGCGAUAAGUUCACCGCCUGGGGACUACGGCCGCAAGGUUA